GUCACAGUGGCCGAGUGGUUUUAAGGCGUUGCCCUGCUAUACAUACAAGUUAGCCAGGCAGUGGGUUUUGCCCGCGCAGGUUCGAGUCCUGUCUGUGACG
Molecule: transfer RNA, 100 nt
Organism: Sugiyamaella lignohabitans
Lineage: Eukaryota; Fungi; Ascomycota; Dipodascomycetes; Dipodascales; Trichomonascaceae
Rfam family: tRNA
About the family: Transfer RNA (tRNA) molecules are approximately 80 nucleotides in length. Their secondary structure includes four short double-helical elements and three loops (D, anti-codon, and T loops). Further hydrogen bonds mediate the characteristic L-shaped molecular structure. tRNAs have two regions of fundamental functional importance: the anti-codon, which is responsible for specific mRNA codon recognition, and the 3' end, to which the tRNAs corresponding amino acid is attached (by aminoacyl-tRNA synthetases). tRNAs cope with the degeneracy of the genetic code in two manners: having more than one tRNA (with a specific anti-codon) for a particular amino acid; and 'wobble' base-pairing, i.e. permitting non-standard base-pairing at the 3rd anti-codon position.
Source: Rfam